This 990-nucleotide ribosomal RNA is filed under the name Escherichia coli. RNAcentral's name for it is "partial 23S ribosomal RNA". It matches the Rfam family "Bacterial large subunit ribosomal RNA", at positions 778 to 1767 of the family's 2925-position model. Lineage: Bacteria; Pseudomonadati; Pseudomonadota; Gammaproteobacteria; Enterobacterales; Enterobacteriaceae. The record is from RNAcentral.
ACCGACUAAUGUUGAAAAAUUAGCGGAUGACUUGUGGCUGGGGGUGAAAGGCCAAUCAAACCGGGAGAUAGCUGGUUCUCCCCGAAAGCUAUUUAGGUAGCGCCUCGUGAACUCAUCUCCGGGGGUAGAGCACUGUUUCGGCAAGGGGGUCAUCCCGACUUACCAACCCGAUGCAAACUGCGAAUACCGGAGAAUGUUAUCACGGGAGACACACGGCGGGUGCUAACGUCCGUCGUGAAGAGGGAAACAACCCAGACCGCCAGCUAAGGUCCCAAAGUCAUGGUUAAGUGGGAAACGAUGUGGGAAGGCCCAGACAGCCAGGAUGUUGGCUUAGAAGCAGCCAUCAUUUAAAGAAAGCGUAAUAGCUCACUGGUCGAGUCGGCCUGCGCGGAAGAUGUAACGGGGCUAAACCAUGCACCGAAGCUGCGGCAGCGACGCUUAUGCGUUGUUGGGUAGGGGAGCGUUCUGUAAGCCUGCGAAGGUGUGCUGUGAGGCAUGCUGGAGGUAUCAGAAGUGCGAAUGCUGACAUAAGUAACGAUAAAGCGGGUGAAAAGCCCGCUCGCCGGAAGACCAAGGGUUCCUGUCCAACGUUAAUCGGGGCAGGGUGAGUCGACCCCUAAGGCGAGGCCGAAAGGCGUAGUCGAUGGGAAACAGGUUAAUAUUCCUGUACUUGGUGUUACUGCGAAGGGGGGACGGAGAAGGCUAUGUUGGCCGGGCGACGGUUGUCCCGGUUUAAGCGUGUAGGCUGGUUUUCCAGGCAAAUCCGGAAAAUCAAGGCUGAGGCGUGAUGACGAGGCACUACGGUGCUGAAGCAACAAAUGCCCUGCUUCCAGGAAAAGCCUCUAAGCAUCAGGUAACAUCAAAUCGUACCCCAAACCGACACAGGUGGUCAGGUAGAGAAUACCAAGGCGCUUGAGAGAACUCGGGUGAAGGAACUAGGCAAAAUGGUGCCGUAACUUCGGGAGAAGGCACGCUGAUAUGUAGGUGAAG